ACGCCAGUUUUUACUUGAUGCAAGCGACUUCAGUUUUGCCUCAUUAGCAGAUUUAUACUCAAAAGACUCGAUGUAAUCACAGCAACUCAUAUUAUCAUGCCAAGCUACAUUGCAAUUCAUGCAAAAAAGACGAUGACAUUUCACACAUUUUCUCUUUCCAGAUUCUUGAGAAGAAGAAGAAGAAGAAGAAGAUGAGGGGGGAGCUUGUUGUUGGAGCUCGGUUUUUGACAUCAAAGCAGAGCAACUAGAAACUGGGCAAUAAACUUUCUCUGAUGGAGGAAUGGAAGCUUCUUUUAUCAUUGAGCUCAUCAUAUCAUAUAGUUUUGGAUUCAAGAAACUUUUGCAGGUUUCAAUUUCAAGCUCAGAUUUGCAUUCUUCAUGUGGACAUUCGGGUAGCUUCCCUUGAUGCAACUUUGCUUCUACAUGCUUUCUCAUACAGGAAAAACAGUAUCUGUGUAGACAUUUGUUGACAGAAAACAUUUGGCCAAUGUAGGUGGAUUCAAAACAGAUUGUGCAUUGUUCAAGUAAUGUUUUCCUCGAUUCGUUUUCUGCUAAUUUGGUGGCGUGAGAAAGAAUUGCAUCUUUUGCAAGUUGAUAAGCAAACGCCAGAUUGUUUUGCUUCACGAGAAUAGG
Molecule: long non-coding RNA, 633 nt
Filed under: Lactuca sativa (garden lettuce)
Lineage: Eukaryota; Viridiplantae; Streptophyta; Magnoliopsida; Asterales; Asteraceae
Description: long non-coding RNA (LSAT_LNC006309)
Source: RNAcentral